AGAGUUUGAUCAUGGCUCAGGAUGAACGCUAGCGGGAGGCCUAACACAUGCAAGUCGAACGGGAUUGAGAGCUUGCUCUCAUGAGAGUGGCGCACGGGUGAGUAACGCGUAUGCAACCUACCUUUAACUGAGGGAUAGCCCAUAGAAAUGUGGAUUAAUACCUCAUAGUUCUGAACUUCCGCAUGGGAAAUCAGAUAAAGCUCCGGCGGUUAAAGAUGGGCAUGCGUGACAUUAGCUAGUUGGUAAGGUAACGGCUUACCAAGGCUACGAUGUCUAGGGGUUCUGAGAGGAUGAUCCCCCACACUGGUACUGAGACACGGACCAGACUCCUACGGGAGGCAGCAGUGAGGAAUAUUGGUCAAUGGGCGCAAGCCUGAACCAGCCAUCCCGCGUGAAGGAUGAAGGCCCUAUGGGUCGUAAACUUCUUUUAUACACCAAGAAAAACACCCACGUGUGGGUGCCCGACGGUAGUGUAUGAAUAAGCAUCGGCUAACUCCGUGCCAGCAGCCGCGGUAAUACGGAGGAUGCAAGCGUUAUCCGGAUUCAUUGGGUUUAAAGGGUGC
Molecule: ribosomal RNA, 563 nt
Filed under: uncultured bacterium
Lineage: Bacteria
Description: bacterial SSU rRNA
Rfam family: Bacterial small subunit ribosomal RNA
Source: RNAcentral